Molecule: ribosomal RNA, 673 nt
Filed under: Thelonectria diademata
Lineage: Eukaryota; Fungi; Ascomycota; Sordariomycetes; Hypocreales; Nectriaceae
Description: eukaryotic LSU rRNA
Rfam family: Eukaryotic large subunit ribosomal RNA
Source: RNAcentral
CAGUAACGGCGAGUGAAGCGGCAACAGCUCAAAUUUGAAAUCUGGCCCCCGGGUCCGAGUUGUAAUUUGUAGAGGAUGCUUUUGGCAAGGUGCCUUCCGAGUUCCCUGGAACGGGACGCCAUAGAGGGUGAGAGCCCCGUCUGGUCGGACACCGCGCCUCUGUAAAGCUCCUUCGACGAGUCGAGUAGUUUGGGAAUGCUGCUCUAAAUGGGAGGUAUAUGUCUUCUAAAGCUAAAUACCGGCCAGAGACCGAUAGCGCACAAGUAGAGUGAUCGAAAGAUGAAAAGCACUUUGAAAAGAGAGUUAAAAAGUACGUGAAAUUGUUGAAAGGGAAGCGAUUAUGACCAGACUUGGGCCUGUUUGAUCAACUUGGGUUCUCCCGGGUGCACUCUCUCAGGCCUAGGCCAGCAUCAGUUCGUCGCGGGGGAAAAAUGUCGCGGGAAUGUAGCUCCCCUCGGGGAGUGUUAUAGACCGCUUCGUAAUACCCUGCGUCGGACUGAGGUUCGCGCACUUGUGCAAGGAUGCUGGCGUAAUGGUCAUCAUCGACCCGUCUUGAAACACGGACCAAGGAGUCGUCUUCGUAUGCGAGUGUUCGGGUGUUAAACCCCUACGCGGAAUGAAAGUGAACGCAGGUGAGAGCUUCGGCGCAUCAUCGACCGAUCCUGAUGUUCUC